AAGUCAGGAUCGGAAACGGAACCAACAACAAUCUACAGCAGUGCCACUCCGGUAUUGUCCUGGGCCUGUCGAUAUAUGCCAAAGAGGGAAGACGUCGAGCAAUGGUCAACUGUCCUCGUGUCGACCAGCCGUAGACUCCAGCGCUGUUGGACAGCAAUCCUACCAGUAGGACCCGCUCGCCUCUCUCUCGCCACCGUCGAACGACCAGCCGGAAUCGUCAGCAAAUAACUAUAGAUCUACCUAAUGUAAACCCGCCAUAAGAAUCGAUUAGACUGGAAGAAAAGCUUUCGACCGUGUAACGGAGAUGGACACUUAGGCCAUCUACACACUAGGCAACCUAAGUUGGAAAGCAACUUAACGAAUCUGUCAAAAAAGUUGAGAACAUGUGUAAUCAAAUGGGAGCAUACACACUAGGCAACUGGCAACUUUGGUCGGACCAACUUUUUCGAUUCAACUCAGCAUGUCGAGUCGCGCGCGAUUUGUGUCGGCAACCUUUUCGUUCAAUUGCUGUUGACGUUUUGAUUUCUGCGUGCAUUGAAUUUCAAUAUCUGUCAGUGGUGAUGCAAAACAGUGUUUACAAUAUUGGCGCAUCUGUUUCUAUGAACGAACGAGAUGAAAUGCCAUCAAUAUGCAAGUUCUCUUGAUAUACCGUCCGGGAAGAGUGCUGAAUUGGUCAAGGAUGCGUAUAAUAUUGGAGAUUGAGCAAGAAGCACAGAAUCCGCUGGAUGUGUUUUUUCCAAGUUAACAGCAAUUGUUGCUGUCUGUUGUUAUCAGCGAGCCGAAAUAAGUAUGUUAGAUAGCCUAAGAUUGGAUAAUUCUGGUCAGAUUUCCCGGGAAACCGUUAUCAUCCCUGAUUCUCGAUUGUACCAUGUGCGAAGGUGCGGUCUGCGAAUAUGUGACCCCUGGGAGAAUUUUUCAUAUUUAGCGUUAGUGUAUACAUAAAUCAUUCUUUAGAAGAAUUGUUGAAAAUUUUUCUGUUUUCUUUAUAUAAUUCUAUUCGGCUGUAUUCUUAUUUCAAUGAUUUUUUUUAUGUUUGUAAAUAUUGUUUGCUGGUUUG
Long non-coding RNA from Toxorhynchites rutilus septentrionalis, 1057 nucleotides. RefSeq lists it as uncharacterized. The transcript is spliced from 4 exons. The record is from RefSeq and is a predicted model, not a curated record. NCBI's taxonomy places the organism in Eukaryota, Metazoa, Arthropoda, Insecta, Diptera, Culicidae.